GCGAGUGAAGCGGGAAGAGCUCAAGCUUAAAAUCUCCGUGCAAGUUUUGUGCGGCGAAUUGUAGUCUAUAGAGGCGUGGUCAGCGUGGGCGCUUGGGGCAAGUUCCUUGGAAGAGGACAGCAUGGAGGGUGAUACUCCCGUUCAUCCCUGAGUGGCUCGUGCGUACGACCCGUUUUCUUUGAGUCGCGUUGUUUGGGAAUGCAGCGCAAAGUAGGUGGUAAAUUCCAUCUAAAGCUAAAUAUUGGUGCGAGACCGAUAGCGAACAAGUACCGUGAGGGAAAGAUGAAAAGAACUUUGAAAAGAGAGUUAAAGAGUACCUGAAACUGCUGAAAGGGAACCGAAUCGUUUCCAGUGUCUAUAAUCUGUGGCAUAUUUCAUUGGCGAGCGUUUGCGUGCGUGUGCUGUGGCAGUGGCUUUUUUGGCUGCGCCUGGUGUGUGUGGUGUGAGUGUUUGCUGGUGCCCUGUGCUGCGGUGGGACGUCAAGGUCAGUUCGUAUGCUGCGGGAAAUGGCUGCCGAGGAGGUAGGGCUUACGCUCCGCGUUUGUCUGUUAUAUCUUGGUGGACGAGUCGUCGCGGUUGGGACUGAGGUGCCUACAACGUGCUUUUGAGUGGGUUUGUGUCUCCGUGUGCGCCGUGUGCGGAUAGCUUGCUAUGCGUGUGUGGUUGUGUGUGGAAUUGAUGCGGG
RNAcentral lists this ribosomal RNA (685 nucleotides) under Phytophthora colocasiae. Its description in RNAcentral is "eukaryotic LSU rRNA". It matches the Rfam family "Eukaryotic large subunit ribosomal RNA", at positions 89 to 646 of the family's 3401-position model. Lineage: Eukaryota; Oomycota; Peronosporomycetes; Peronosporales; Peronosporaceae. The record is from RNAcentral.